Serinus canaria (Common canary) is the source of this 1864-nucleotide long non-coding RNA. Ensembl lists it as uncharacterized. The record is from Ensembl. Lineage: Eukaryota; Metazoa; Chordata; Aves; Passeriformes; Fringillidae.
AUGAGGCUCUUGGGGAGCAUGGAGCUCUGGCUGACCAACAUCUUUCUGCCCCUGCUGCUCCUCACCUGGCUGCCAGUUGGAACAGCCAGUCAAAUGGUAAAGCCAGUCACCACUGUGCAGCUCGAGACUGGUUUGGAGAAUCUCACAGUGCAGGUGAAAUGGUACAAUCCUGAUUGUCUGGAGGGGGAGAAUCAAACCAACCCUGUGUUUCUGGGGGAAAACUGUAUGAAUUUCACCAGCUCAAACCUGUGUACAGCCCGCACAGAAAUCUGUGGUUUUGGGGUCUUCAACUCAACACCAAACUCAACAGAUGCUAGAAAUCAAACCAACACUGUGUUUCUGGCUGGAAACUGUAUGAAUUUCACCAGCUCAAGCCCGUGUACAGUCUGCACUGGAAUCUGUGUGUGUAGGGUCUUCAUCAGAAGACCAAACGCGACAGAUGCUGGAAACAGAACGCAAGCAGCAGAUCUCAGCUGUGUCUGUGCAGGACCUCAGACUGAUGUCACAGGGAAGAUCUGGACAGGACUCAACCUCCUCCUGAGCAUCCUCCUUGGCUUAGCGGUCGGGACGCUCCUUUACAUGCCCGUAAUUGGCUUCCUGCUGUGGCAGUGCAGAAGAAACAGAACAGGAGAGCUCAUGAGCGGGGAAGUGGCAGAGGGGAAUCGGGUCAGUACGGCAGCCUCAGUGACAGGGACUGAGGAGCUGACCUAUGCCAACCUGAAAUUUGAAAAGAAGGGGACAGGAUCUGCCUCCUCCAAUGUCAUUUACACCGAGGUCAAGCCAUUGCAACAGAAGCAGAGUGGUGGGGAUGGCAGUGCUGCCAACACAGAGGUGGAUGUUUCCCCCAAGGAAGAAGGCAAGUGAGGGAGGUGAGCAGCUUAUUGUCCACCUGUUGGGAUCGUCCUCCUCAAAAACUAGGUGUCAGCUCAUACAGCAGCACAGUCUUGGGGACAAAGACACCUAUUACCCCCGAGUGGCUGCAGAACCCUGCUUUAUGUUCCCCUGGAAGAAGUCAUGUGAGGACAGGGCUCUUGAGCCUGCUUUCCCCUUGCCUUCUGCAGCUCCAAGCACUGCCAAGCCUCAGCAACUAUUUUUACUGUCUCUAGUUGGUGACAGGCUCCUCUAGCUGCUUGUUCUGUGUUCAGGAAUGACAGUGUACACUGUGUGGCCAGCAUGGUGUUCAGGAAGAGCUUCGUCCUGGACAUGCUGGGUGGCAUAUGCUGACCAUGAGAAGUCCUGGAGCAAUUUUCUGGAUUUUCUCUGGAGCAGGCACCUGCUGUGAUAUGGGCUGACCUUUGUUUCAUUCACUCACUUGAAACACAAGGGGCAAGGAUUGAAAAGCAUUGCCUACUUCACAGAGGUGCUGCUGCAGUGAUGCACAUGGAUCUGCUUGUCCUGGGAGUAGACAGGUGUUUCUGCUGGUUUGCUGGUGAAUACCCUUCUUGUGGGUAGAGCACUCUCUUUUGUGCCCUCUUUUAUUGAUAAUGUUGUGUUUAUUGUGAGUUUUUUCAGUAAAAUUGUGAUUCCUACAUGUGGUCUUGCCUGGUAUUUCCUCUGCUGUUGGAAGAGGAGCAGCUUGAGUGGAGAUAACUUUCCCACUGGGUUUGAAACCAGCACAUAGUCUAGUGAUUUAGUGUUACAGCCACAACAGAUGCUGAGGUUCAGAGAUGACCCCAAAAAGAUAGUCCAGAUCUUCUGGGUUAUUCUCAGAGCAUAUGAUGUCCAACCAUUAAACAACCCCAAAAAGAUAGUCCAGAUCUUCUGGGUUAUUCUCAGAGCAUAUGAUGUCCAACCAUUAAACAACCCACCUCAUCACCUUCUCUGCCAGGCAUAACAUCAUCAGCACCUGCAUGACCAGGUUCCA